CCCUUAGAUGUUCUGGGCCGCACGCGCGCUACACUGAUGCAUUCAACGAGUUCCUACCUUGGCCGAGAGGCCUGGGCAAUCUUUUGAACUUGCAUCGUGAUAGGGAUAGAUUAUUGCAAUUAUUAAUCUUGAACGAGGAAUUCCUAGUAAACGCAGAUCAUCAAUCUGCAUUGAUUACGUCCCUGCCCUUUGUACACACCGCCCGUCGCACCUACCGAUUGAAUGGUCCGGUGAAGCCUCAGGAUUGUGGUUAGUUUCCUUCAUUGGAAGUUAGCCGCGAGAACUUGUCUAAACCUUAUCAUCUAGAGGAAGGUGAAGUCGUAACA
RNAcentral lists this ribosomal RNA (326 nucleotides) under uncultured eukaryote. RNAcentral describes it as "partial 18S ribosomal RNA". It matches the Rfam family "Eukaryotic small subunit ribosomal RNA", at positions 1470 to 1796 of the family's 1831-position model. The record is from RNAcentral.